GGUAAUAGUAAGCGACCCAGAGAAGUAAGCGACGAAAUGCUUUGGGGAGUUAAAAAUAAGCAUAGGUCCAGGAAUUCCCGAUAUAGAUUAACCUUUCGAACUACUGUUGAAUCCAUGGGUAGGCAAGAGACAACCUGGUGAACUGAAACAUCUUAAUAACCAGAGGAAAAGAAAGCAACAGAGAUUCUCGUAGUAACGACGAGAGAAAUGAGAACAGCCUAAACUAUGAACCGCUAUCUUAAAAAUUUACUCAA
Molecule: non-coding RNA, 254 nt
Organism: Cajanus cajan (pigeon pea)
Lineage: Eukaryota; Viridiplantae; Streptophyta; Magnoliopsida; Fabales; Fabaceae
Source: Rfam